RNAcentral lists this ribosomal RNA (765 nucleotides) under uncultured Streptococcus sp. RNAcentral's name for it is "bacterial SSU rRNA". It matches the Rfam family "Bacterial small subunit ribosomal RNA", at positions 28 to 776 of the family's 1533-position model. Lineage: Bacteria; Bacillati; Bacillota; Bacilli; Lactobacillales; Streptococcaceae. The record is from RNAcentral.
GACGAGCGCUGGCGGCGUGCCUAAUACAUGCAAGUAGAACGCUGAAGAGAGGAGCUUGCUCUUCUUGGAUGAGUUGCGAACGGGUGAGUAACGCGUAGGUAACCUGCCUUGUAGCGGGGGAUAACUAUUGGAAACGAUAGCUAAUACCGCAUAACAAUGGAUGACCCAUGUCAUUUAUUUGAAAGGGGCAAAUGCUCCACUACAAGAUGGACCUGCGUUGUAUUAGCUAGUAGGUGAGGUAACGGCUCACCUAGGCGACGAUACAUAGCCGACCUGAGAGGGUGAUCGGCCACACUGGGACUGAGACACGGCCCAGACUCCUACGGGAGGCAGCAGUAGGGAAUCUUCGGCAAUGGGGGCAACCCUGACCGAGCAACGCCGCGUGAGUGAAGAAGGUUUUCGGAUCGUAAAGCUCUGUUGUAAGUCAAGAACGAGUGUGAGAGUGGAAAGUUCACACUGUGACGGUAGCUUACCAGAAAGGGACGGCUAACUACGUGCCAGCAGCCGCGGUAAUACGUAGGUCCCGAGCGUUGUCCGGAUUUAUUGGGCGUAAAGCGAGCGCAGGCGGUUUGAUAAGUCUGAAGUUAAAGGCUGUGGCUCAACCAUAGUUCGCUUUGGAAACUGUCAAACUUGAGUGCAGAAGGGGAGAGUGGAAUUCCAUGUGUAGCGGUGAAAUGCGUAGAUAUAUGGAGGAACACCGGUGGCGAAAGCGGCUCUCUGGUCUGUAACUGACGCUGAGGCUCGAAAGCGUGGGGAGCGAACAGG